GAAGAAAAAAAAAAGCAGAUAAAUCAAGGGCGAUUAUUCACUCAUACCAAAUAAUAAAUCUCAUUAUUCUCAACGUAUGGAAUAAUUCCGCAUUGGAUAAUAAUUCAUGAGUUCUAUGGGAAUGGAUAAUUCUACCGGAACGUGAAGUAAUGAAAAAGGGUAGUGAUAUUUCGAAU
Long non-coding RNA from Fopius arisanus, 176 nucleotides. RefSeq lists it as uncharacterized. Lineage: Eukaryota; Metazoa; Arthropoda; Insecta; Hymenoptera; Braconidae. The record is from RefSeq and is a predicted model, not a curated record. The transcript has 2 exons.